AACGUGGCUACAAUGCCACUUGGUGAAUGGUUCGGCUCGAGCGCCGAUGAAUGGACGUGCCAAGCUGCGAUAAGCCCGGGGGAGCCGCAUGGAGGCUAAGAACCCGGGAUCUCCGAAUGAGAAUCUCUACACAAUUGCUUCGCGCAAUAGGGAACGUCGGGAACUGAAACAUCUUAGUACCGACAGGAAAAGAAACCAACAGGGAUGUCGUUAGUAACGGCGAGUGAAAACGACACAGUCUAAACCGAAGCCUUCGGGCAAUGUGGUGUAUGGACUGACAAUCAGCACUAGAACUUCAACGUGAAGUCUCCUGGAACGGAGCGUGAUACAGGGUGAAAGCCCCGUAACUUUGAUUAUUAUAGUGUGUGUCAGAACCUGAAUAGCGGGGGUUGGAAUUCCCUCGUGAAUACGGCAGGCAUCAAUCUGCCAAGACUAAAUACGUCUCGAGACCGAUAGCGAAUAAGUAGCGUGAGCGAAUACUGAAAAGAACCCUCAGAAGGGGGGUGAAAUAGGACCUGAAAUCAAGUGGCGAUAGAGCGGUGGGGCAUAAAAGGCCUUACGACGAACGAAUCAAGGGCGACCUUGUAGUAGGAGUCAUAAGGAGCCGGUGUCCUGUCGUGCGUUUUGAAAAAUGAGCCAGGGAGUGUAUCUAAUCGGCGAGCUUAACCUGAUUAUCGGGGAAGGCAUAGGGAAACCAACAUGUCCGCAGCUUUCGAGCAAGGGACGCCGUCUACAAGGGCGGGGAGUCGAUUGGAUACGACCCGGAACCGGGCGAUCUACGCGUGGGCAAGGUGAAACGUGGCGAAAGCUGCGUGGAGGCCUGUUAGGGGUAUUGCCUUACAAUGCAUUCCCGUGACCCACGUGUAGGGGUGAAAGGCCCAUCGAGCCCGGAGACAGCUGGUUCCGACCGAAACAUGUCGUAGCAUGACCUCCAUUGAGGUAGUUUGUGGGGUAGAGCGACUGAUUGGGAGAAUCGAUAUCGAAAGGUGUCGACCUCCUUGUCAAACUCCGAACCUACAGACGCCGUAGACGUGGGGAGUCCGGUGUACGGGGUAAGCUUGUAUACCGUGAGGGUGAGAACCCAGAGCUGGGUUAAGGUCCCAAAGUGUGGGCUAAGUGCAACUAAAAAGUGGUCUCGGGUCCAAGACAACCGGGAGGUAAGCUUAGAAGCAGCAAUCCUCUAAGAAAAGCGUAACAGCUUACCGGUCGAGAUUCGAGGCGCUGAAAAUGAUCGGGGCUAAAGCCCACCCCCGAGACCCAGCCGCACCUUAACAGGUGAUCGUGUAGGUCGGCGUUCCGUUCGGGUGGAAGCACGGGCGAGAGUUCGUGUGGACCGUUCGGAAAUGAAAAUCCUGGCCGUAGUAGCAGCGUUAGUCGGGUGAGAAUCUUGAUGGCCGAAAGGGUAAGGGUUCCUCAGCAAUGUUUAUCAGCUGAGGGUUAGCCGGUCCUAAGUCUUAUCGUAACUCGAGUAAGACAAAUUGGGAAAUUGGUUAAUAUUCCAAUGCCAUUAUACAUUAAAAGCUGACGCUUCGGGGUAGAGUGAGCCGGGCCUUCGCCCGGUCGAACCGUCGAAAUUCGUGGAAGCCGUAAUGGCACGAAGCGAAUGAAUGUCGGGAUAGGGAAACUCACUUCAACCUGGAGCCCGUGAAAAGGCAAGUAUAAUGACCGUACUCAGAACCGAAACAGGUGCCCAGGCAGAGAAAGCCAAGGCCUGUCGGGAAUAACCGACGUUAGGGAAUUCGGCAAAUUAGUCCCGUACGUUCGCAAUAAGGGAUGCCUGCUCCGGUAAGGAGCAGGUCGCAGUGACUAGGGAGCUCCGACUGUCUAGUAACAACACAGGUGACCGCAAAUCCGAAAGGACUCGUACGGUCACUGAAUCCUGCCCAGUGCAGGUAUCUGAAACUCUGGUUCAACAGAACGAAGGACCUGUCAACGGCGGGGGUAACUAUGACCCUCUUAAGGUAGCGUAGUACCUUGCCGCUUAAUUAGCGGCUUGCAUGAAUGGAUCAACGAGAGCUCCACUGUCCCAACGUUGGGCCCGGUGAACCGUACUUUCCAGUGCGUAGUCUGGAGACCCCCAAGGGGAAGCGAAGACCCUAUAGAGCUUUACUGCAGGCUGCCGCUGGGGCAUGAUCGACGAUGUGUAGAAUAGGUAGGAGUCAUUACACAGGUGCGCGCGCUAGCGCGUCGCCGAGACAACAGUGAAAUACUACCCGUCGUUGAGCGUGUCCCUCACUCUUUUAGAGGACACCGGUAGCUGGGCAGUUUGACUGGGGCGGUACGCGCUCGAAAAGAUAUCGAGCGCGCCCUAAGGUCACCUCAUCCGUGUCAGAAAUGCGGAGAAGAGCGCAAGAGCAAAAGGUGGCCUGACAGUGUUCUCCAUAACAAGGAACGCUGACGCGAAAGCGUGGUCUAGCGAACCUGUGUGCCCGAUUGAUGCGGGCCAUAGAUGACAGAAAAGCUACCUUAGGGAUAACUGAGUCGUCACCGGCAAGAGCACAUAUCGACCCGGUGGCUUGCUACUUCGAUGUCGGUUCCCUCCAACCUGCCCGUGCAGAAGCGGGCAAGGGUGUGGUUGUUCGCCAAUUAAAGGAGGUCGUGAGCUGGGUUUAGACCGUCGUGAGACAGGUCGGCUGCUAUCUAUUGGGGGUGUGAGGUGUCUGACGGGAACGUCCACAUAGUACGAGAGGAACUGUGGAUGGGUGCCACUGGUGUACCGGUUGUUCGAAAGAGCAAGUGCCGGGCAGCUACGCACCAAGGGGUAAGAGCUGAACGCAUCUAAGCUCGAAACUCACCUGGAAAAGAGACACCAUUUGAGUCCACCUGUAAAAGACAGGAUUGAUAGAUUUGGGGUGUACGCACCAAGGCAACGAGGUGUUUAGCCCGCGAAUACUAAUCGGACGAAGCCAUACAUU
This 2915-nucleotide ribosomal RNA is filed under the name Euryarchaeota archaeon UBA24. RNAcentral's name for it is "bacterial LSU rRNA". It matches the Rfam family "Archaeal large subunit ribosomal RNA". RNAcentral also lists the same sequence under 1 other name. The record is from RNAcentral. Lineage: Archaea; Methanobacteriati; Methanobacteriota.